Non-coding RNA from Peromyscus maniculatus bairdii (prairie deer mouse), 1535 nucleotides. The record is from RefSeq and is a predicted model, not a curated record. NCBI's taxonomy places the organism in Eukaryota, Metazoa, Chordata, Mammalia, Rodentia, Cricetidae.
ACAUAAUAAAUAAAUAAAAAAUAAUGUAGGAUAAAGGAAGGGGAGGGGUUUCUUGGCUAAUGGUCAAGAGAGAACUGGAAUGUUUGAUUUCAGGUGAAGACUGUCUUUCUGCUCAUACCUGCUCCGAAAAUGGCCAACACCAACCUCUGUUUUCUCCUGUCAGCCUUUAAACCACGAUAGAUAGGACCGCUAUGCCACAAACAGCCGGAAGUGCCCCCUCGCCCCUCCCCCGCCAUCCUGCCGAAGGGACCGAGACUCAUAGGAGGGGCUUCUCAGGCCAAAGGACCCACGGAGGAAGCUGAAGGGUCCCCAGUACAGUGCCUGGGACAUAGCAGCAAAUUGAUUUGCUUAAUAAACAUUACAGAGCACUUACUACACACUCACUUUGAAAUGGGAGUCGGAAUCCAGCAGGAGCAGAGGCGGAGGUCUAAUCUAUUAAUAGAAGAGUCAUAUCAUAAACACAGAAGGCAGCAAAUGAAGUGACCGUAGACACAAAGUCGAGGGAGCAGCAGAAACAGAAGGAUCCGGGACGUAGACGGGGAGCCGCCUCUGACGGGACCAGAGACUUCAUCUUUCAUGACCGCAAGGACGUGCCAAGUGGAGAUCUCUCAAGAGAUGGCUGGAUUCUGUGAUACUCCACGCACAGCACGUUACAGCCUCAGUCUUCAUGAGACCCUCCCACAUAUUGACAGAAACUUAGUCACAGGACUGUUGCGAGAACCCAGACUCAACAAAGGCGGAAGCGCCCGGCAAGCAAACAAUCCCAGCUCACGGAAAGGGGGUCCAGGCCAGUGCAUGGUGGCUCCUCCCGUGGGAUGGCCCGGUGUUACCGGAUGAAGUGGUGUGAGCCCCUGGGGUGCCUGGAUGAGCAGGCAUCCAUUUGGCUCAGUUGCAGCAGACGGCAGUUGGGUAUGGGCUGUGUUGGAAGAUGGCAAUACAGGAGUGAGCCCUGGGUGUUAGUUUGCAGACCCUGAAGGUUAACUCUACGGAGCCCUAGUUCCCCAGGCCUCCCUCCUCUGCGUGUCCCGUCUACAGGGUGGACAUCCGGUUACCUUUGAAUGAGCAGUUACCAGCAGCUCAUGGACCUACACGUCCCUCCGCUUAGAGCUCUCUCUUUUCCCUCCUCAUCUCAUCUUUCAUCCUUUAGCUUCCCUUUCUCAGAGAAACCUUUCUGGGCUCAUUUCACACACAGACACCACGGACAUACACACACGCACACUUCCUAAUUAGCUCCUAUCACACCAGUGGCCAUCUUGCCACCAGACUGUGUGUUCCAGAGGACUGGACACCAGUGCAUCCUCAAUGCUUACUCUAGAGCCUGGCAUGUAAGACAUGCUCAAUGAUUUGUUGCAUGAAUGACUAGAUCGAAUCAUUCCUGUUUCGGGGAUCAGACCUUGCCUGAACACAGGAGGAGCACCACCGCCCAGGCCGAGCUUUGCCUCCUCUCAAUCUUGCUUCUUGGCUUGGUAUUCCUCCCUAGUUGCCACCACACAGGAUGGUCCUGAAUAUUGCUUGCUAAAUAAAUGAAUGGAUUC